UUAAUUUAAAUUUGUAUGGAGUUGGAACGUUUGCUAUAGUUUGCCGCUAAGGGCGCUGUUCCAACUGCAUACAAAUUUGAGCGA
Molecule: non-coding RNA, 84 nt
Organism: Bombyx mori (domestic silkworm)
Lineage: Eukaryota; Metazoa; Arthropoda; Insecta; Lepidoptera; Bombycidae
Source: Rfam